GAGACGAACAGUCGCGUCGUUUGGAAUGCUUGGGGCGCUAGUGUUUCUGGAACCUUCCGUUUGCGGCGCCUAGGGUUCCAGAAACCCUAGGUCUUCCGUCCUUUGUUAACCAACUGGGCCAUUUGGGCCGUACUUGUUUGUAGGUUAGGUGUAAAUGGGUUAGUAGGUAGUUUAGGUAAUUGGGUUCUAAGUAUUUGGGUCUACGGGUUAAUGGGCUAUGGUAUUGUAAAUGGACUGUAAUAAAUAAACAUUCAUUUAUUUAUUUUUUUGCUUUUUGUUUUAAGGCCCGGGCAGAUUUGGGCUACUACAGCUGCCACUCUUUGCUUAUUGCUAUGUAAUAGGAAUCGAGCAAAGACUUAUAGACAGACCAAAUUUUCCCGGUCUUAUCAGAUCCUCGUCUUCAAUCUGUUCUUUGCAAACUUAAGACUGUCAUGCUGAUAUUUCGAUCUGCUCUCCGUCGAACACAAAGACGCUAAAUCUGCUAUCUUCAAUCUGCUUUCUGACAAUACAGAGACGCCAAAUCUGCUGUCUUUGAUCUGCUCCCUGACAAUACAGGGAUGCCAAAUCUGCUUCUUGGACUUGCUCCUCGUCGAAUACAAAGAUGUCAAAUCUACUAUCUAUGAUUUGCUCUCUGACCAUACAGAGAUGCCAAAUCUGCUAUCCUCGAUCUGCUCCCUAACAAAUACAGAGACGCCAAAUCUACUAUCUUUGAUCUACUCUCUGAUAAUACAGAGAUGCCAAAUCAUCUUAGAUUUGCUUCAGUGUAAACACGUGAAAGCCAAAUCUACCAUGUCUUCGAUCUGCUCCCUGACAAUACAGGGACGCCAAAUCUGCUAUCUUCGAUCUGCUCUCUGAAAAAUACAGAGACGCCAAAUCUGCUAUCUUUGAUCUGCUCUCUGACAAUACAGAGAUGCCAAAUCAUCUUAGAUUUGCUUCAGCGUAAACACGUGAAAGCUAAAUCUGCUAUGUCUUAAAUCUGCUCCUUGUAAACAUAAGGAUGCCAAAUCAUCUUGGAUCUACUUCGAUAUGGAAACACCCAAAGGUUAGAUCUGCUAUGUCUUCGAUCUGCUCUCCGUCGAAUAUGGAGAUGACAAAUCUGUUUCUUCGAUUUGUUCUCUGACAAUACAGAGAUACCAAAUCAUCUUGGAUCUGCUUCAGCAUAAAUACUUGAAAGUCAGAUCUGCUAUGCUUUAGCCUAUUACCUACUGCUUAAGGGGUUAAGGCGCAUCAAUCUUCAUUGUCCUUUGAAGGACAUAACCUGUAUAAUGUGUAUGAGUUUAUGCCUAAUGAUUAGGAUGCUUAUGAUUAAAAUGAGUCAAAUGCUCUUAAUUAAACCUGUUAUAAUGCAAAAUGUUUAUGAAUAUGACCCCUAUUCCAGACAUCACUAGUCAUUCCUUCGUUGAAGUUUAACUUUAUUUCUCUCGAAUUAUCAUUCCUACUCAGCCUGUGGGUUUGUACCAUUCUUCAAAUGCUAUGACCCACCAAAAAUGUUUGUAAGAUGAUCCUCUCUUAGGAUCGAAUCGUUUGAUUUGUCCAAUCAUCAUUUUGGACUAAAGAAAUAAUUUCCUCGAGUUCUUUCGAACCUUACUUACGUGAAUUCCUUGAACAAUUGUUCCGUUUUAGUUUCUUGUAUUAUCUAGAAAUUUCCAGAGUAAUGAACAAAACUUCAUUUGUGAAAAUUAUUUAGUUCAUCUAUCAUUAUUUAAUGCAACACACUUUAAGAAUAAUGAACGAUGAAUUUAAUUAGAUUUGAAUAAAUUUGUCAAAAAUACAAAGAAAAUUAAUCUGAAAGCCUAUCUUUGAGAAGAAAGAGAAUCUAAAGAUAGCAAACAGGACAAAAGUUAGAUGCCCUAGAUAUCGCCGCUUAAGCAUUUAUAGGCCAGCUCCAUGAAGACUUUCUUGAGUUUAACAUGUGUUUAAAAGAUCCAAAGUACUUUGUUGAUGCCCCGAUAUGCAACGCGCUUCACUCUUCGUUGAAUCAGAUAUAGCAAGAUUACCGUGUGCUCUUCAAAAUUUGAGUUGCCCUUUCGGGUUUUCAACUCAAAGCCCCUUUGGUCACAAGGCGCCCUUUGUGGAUUUUCACCUUGGCCUCUCCAUUUUUUUUUUGAAAACUUAAGGCGCCCUUUGCGGGUUUUCACCCUGAAUUCUUCUCUCCUUUAGACAAAGUACUUUUUGACUGAGUCUGAAUUCAUUGGAUUGGGUAAACUCUUCCCAUCCAUUUCCAUUAAGAUCAAUGCACCCCCAGAGAAAGCCUUCUUUACGACAUACGACCCUUCCCAAUUCGGCAUCCAUUUUCCUCUAAAGUCCUUCUAAAUGGGGAGAAUCUUUUUCAAUACAAGGUCCCCUUCGUGGAAUUCUCUUGGACGAACUUUCUUAUCAUAAGCUCGCAUCAUUCGCUUCUGAUACAUCUGACCAUGGCGAAUAGCUUUUAGCCUCUUUUCUUCGAUCAAGUUCAAUUGGUCAUACCGGGAUUGAAUCUGUAACAACCCUAACCCGUACCCGCUGCCAGAACAGGGUUUCGGAGCAUUACUACCAUUUGCAGAUCACUUAAAAAAAUUUAAAUACUUACCGAUUCAAUGCAUCAUAUAAAUAAAUAUAUAUUACCAUUCAAUCAAUAGUUUGGCACUUGUACAAGCAUCAGACAGCAACAUUGUUAGUAUACUUGCACAUAUCACACUUGAGUUUAAUAAUAGUCUCAACUUACAUAAUUUCCUUGUAUCAACAUAUCAAAGAUAAUCAUUUAUGUACAUGUCAUGAAACAUAUCAUGCUCUUACUGUUUCUUCAUAAGCAUAUAUCAUUCAUUUCAUUAUAUCAAUAUUUCAUGCUCCAUCAUUUCCAUAUAUUUUAUGUAUAUUUAUUCCGAUAAUAGCUUAUAUCUUAACAUAAAUUAUAUUCCAUGUACUUAUACUUAUUUCGUUUAUCUAUCUUCAUAAUUAUUUCAUACAACUAUUUUGUACAUAUAUUUCCAUAUGACCAGUUCUUGUAAACAUUUCAAACAACCAUUUCAUAUAACCAUUCGUCAUCUGAUACGUAUUACCUGAAUAUCAAUUGUUCAAUAGAUGUCAUAGCGUCUUCCAUCCACGGUCUUAUUUAUCUUUGACAUGAUGCCAUAGUGUCUUUCAACUAUGGUCUUACUCAUUUUCUGUCAUGUUGCCAUGGUAUCUUUCAACCAUGAUCUUAUUCUUUUCAUGUCACGUUGCCAUGGUAUCUUUCAACCAUGGUCUUACACAUUUCAUAUCAGGUUGCCAUGGUAUCUUUCAACCAUGGUCUUACACAUUUCAUAUCAGGUUGUCAUGGUAUCUUUCAACCAUGGUCUUACACAUUUCAUAUCAGAGAGUACACUCCCGCGAACCUCAUCCUUACAGUGGGAUUACCAGUCCAGGCUAAAUACCCUGUAAUAUAAACUCAUAGAAUAUUGCCAGAAUUACCAAUCCAGGCUAAAUCCCCUAGAACGACAAUUACUCUAAUGAGCUUGGUUUGAAUUACCAGCCCAGGCUAAAUUCAGACCCUAAUUUGGAUUACCCGUCCGGGCUAAAUCCAUUUUACACAUAUUCUUCGGGAGGGCUAUAUCAGAAUAGGAUCACCCGUCCGGACUAGAUCCUUUUUACCGUCAAUUCCUUUUCAAAGAUCCAUCAAAUUUUCCUUUCAUUCAACCGGGAUUUAUUUUCAAUUUAUAUCGAGUAUUAGCAAUAUUUCAUCAAUUAUCAUGAAUUGAACAUUCAAAUCAUAUUUUUAGCACAUAACCACAUUUUUCAAGUGUUUAAAAUACAAUUCAGGUUACACAAACUUACCUCAUUACUUGUUUGUGUUUAUAAUUUCAUUAAUCCGAUAUCUUUUCUUUUCCACGAUCAAGUCUCAUAUUUGAGUCGUCCGGAUCUUUAUAAAUAAAUUUGAUCAUCAUUUUCAUUCAUUUAAUAUUCUAAUGCAUUUAAUUAAUGCUCUAGGAAAAAUUACCAUUUUGCCCCUAAACUUUUAAUUAAUGACGAUUUCAUCCUUAGGGUUAGGAAAAUAAAAUUCUUGCAAUUUAAUCCUUAUUUAUAGCUAUUAUUCUCAUAUGUAUUGAUAACAGUCCAUGAAUUCUAUAAAAUAUCAGAAUUUUUCAUAAUUUCAACACUUUUCAAUUUAAUCCCUAAAACAUGUUUUCCCCCGAUCUUGAACUAAAUUAAUAAUUUCAUUCAAUUUUGUAAUUUAAAUAAUAAAAUAAUCCAUUUCAUGCAAUUUAGUCAUUUCUGACAUUGUUUACAAAAUUGCCCAUAAAAUUUUACUUUUAUUCAAUUUAGCCCCUGAGCCUAAAAUAUACAAAUUAGCCAUGCUAGAUGAAUAUUCAUACAUAUUUUUCCUCCUCCUCCUCUCCAUUCCACAUCCUUAAUGUAGAUAACGCACUUGUAAGUAACAUUAUCCAUAAUUUUUAUUAUCUAUUUUUAUGAAUAUUCAAGCUAUCUAUCUGCGUCAUAGUCACUAAAUUAUUUAUAUCUGGAUCUAUAGAACUCCAAAUUAAGAUCCGCUAAUUUUUCCUGAAACUAGACUUAUAUAUAUUCUUACCAUAAAAUUUUCAGAAUUUUUAGUUUAGCCAAUAAGUAUAGUUUAUUCUUUAAAGUUACCCCUGUUCUGCUGUCUGACAGUUCUAGCCCUUCUUCACUAAAAAUUAAUUAUCUCCUCAUACAGAAUUCGAAUGAUGUUCCCGUUUGUUUCUAUUGAAAAUAGACUCAUUCAGUAUUCUAAACAUAUAAAUUUAAGCCCCUAAUUAUUUUUAUCCAAUUUUUUAUUAUUUUACAAAGUCAGAAAAGGGGAACCCUAAAUCAUUCUGACCUUGUCUCACAAAAUUCAUCAUAUCUCAUGAUUUACAAUUCCAUUUCUUACAUCAUUUCUUUUAUAAGAAACUAGACUUAAUAAGAUCUAAUUUCAUCUUUUAUUCAUCUAUAAUUAGAUUUCUACAAUAUUUGAGGAUUUUUCAAAGUUAGACUACUGCUGCUGUCCAAAACUGUUUUAGUACAAGAUAUUAAUUACAUGUUAUAACACCCUUAUUUUCUUUUUCUACACCAUUUCUUGUAACACCCCCUAAUCCCAACCGUCGCCGGAAUAGGGUUACGAGGCGUUACCGAACAUACUGGUUAAUUUACAAACAAUUCAUGAAUAAACAAUAAAUAUAUUAAAAUUAAAUCAUUAAGUCUCUUUUAUGAACCCCGAGGCCUAAAUCACGUAUUAUAAAUGAAUAGGGACUUAUUCAAGUACUCCGAAAAUUUUUCGUAAUAUAAUAAUAAUGAUAUUUUUUUUAAAAAAAAAUUCAAUAUAACCCCUUUAGAAACAUCUAACCUUCCUUGCAAUUUCAAAUUUGCAACUAACUCAACACAACAACAACUCAACAAAUACAAUCUUCAUCCAAAUCACAUUCGUCUUAUAACAAUAUCACUAAUCCUUAUUUUAUCUAACAUUAUAUCCAUUCAUACUUUAAAGUAGAGGUGUUCAUGGGCCGGGCCGAGUUCGGGUCAGGCUCAACUAAAAAAUCAUGCCCAUUUAUUGGGCUCGGGCUGGGCCCAAAAAAUGGGCCUAAAAUUUUGCCCAAGCCCGACCCGGAUAAAAAUACUAAAACCCAGGUUUGGCCCGGCCCGCCCGUAUUAAUUUUUUAUAUUAUUUUAUUAUUUUUUAAAAUAUAUAUAAUACAUCAAAAAUACUAAAAAUAUCAAAAUAAAUAUUUCCCAACAAAUUGAAAAUAAAUUUUGAAAAAUAUGUAGACUUAAAUAACACUAAGAUAAAUGCAACUUAACUAGCAAUUGCUUCUAAAAUAAUAAAAAAAUUAACAAAUGCCUUUAAAAUAAUAAGAAAAUUAACAAUAAAAUAAAUUUUAUACAAUAUCCAAACAAUAACAACAAAAUAAUAGCAACAUAAUAGUAAAAUGGUAGCAAAAUAUGGAGAAAACAACAAGAAAAUAACAUUUAAAAAUAAAAAAAUAUGCAGCUUUUUUUUGUCCUUUAGUGAAUUCGGGCCGGGCCAGGCCCAGGCUAAAAAUAUCUUACCCGAGGCCCGGCCCAUUUUUUAAAAGGGCCUUAUUUUUUUGUCCAAGGCCAUUUUUCGAGCCUAUAUUUUUGCCCAAACCCUCCCACAUUUCGGGCGGGCCUUCGGGCAUGGCCAGGACGGGUAGCCCGGCCCAUGCACACCUCUACUUUCAAGUAGUAUUUAAACAUCUUAAUUAAUUUCCAUUCAUAUCAUAUAUCAACUUAUAUUAACUUAACUAAUAUAUUCAUGAGUUGAUACAAAACAUAGUCACAUAAGCUCCUAUACAUGCCAUAUAAACCAUUUAAAGUAUUUAUAACAAAAUCUAUCGAAAAAUCGAGAUAGUGUGACUUAAGUGUGAUGAUCCGAUCCCCUGGCCCUCCCGUUAAUCUACAAAGAGCAAUAAACAUUACAGGUAAGCUAACUAUAGCUUAGUAAGUUCGUCGGCUUAAACCAUAAACCUUACCAAUAUUAGUUUUAAAAAUUCAAAUCAUAUGGACAUUUCAAGUAAGUUACUUUCAUCCUGUAAAUCAUAAUUUCAUUUUAAAAAUAAUUUACUUAAUUGAGCUCAAAAAUAAUGAUAACAUUAUUUACAUUUCUUUUUCCACACGUUACAAUUACGACUUACCGACUUGUCAAUUUAAGGAACGACUUACGGAUUUGAGUACAUCGUGAUCUGAAACCCGAAAUCUAACUGAAGCACAUAAGUGCUAAACGGAAGCCCGAAGGCUAACUGAAGCUCAUCAGAGCUGAACUGAAACCCCAAAAGGGUUAACUGAAACUCAUAUGAGCUAACGGAAGCUUGUAAGAGCUAAACAAAAAGCAAACACGAGAGUUUGCAAAAAAUGUUGAAUCUCGGUUUACUUGGGUAAUUUACUGUCAAUUCGUCUUUUUCAUCGAACGUUCGUACUCAUUUCUUGCGUUCCGUUCCUCCGAAAUACUCAGUUCAAUUUCGUAACUUUUGUACAUGAUUUAAUUAUUUUUAACAAUUAACAUACAUAAAUAUUAAUCACCAUUCAUAAAAUAACAUUGAAAUUUAAUAAUUUAAUCGUACGAACUUACCCGGAAUAAUUUGCAGUAGUUGUACAGAUUUCUGGAACUAUUCCGAAAUUCUCUCUUUUCCUCGUUUAUCCUCGAUUUCUUGAUCUAUAAUAUAAAAUUUUUCACUUAUCAGUAUUGACUUCACAUUCAUUCUAUUUCACAUCCUUAAUGUUUAUAACCCACUUAUAAGUAACAUUAUUUGGAAUUUCACUAUUUACCUAUGUAUAUUCAAUGCUAUCCAUCCGUGUCAUAGUCACUAAAUUAUUUUUAUCUUGAGCUACAGAACUCAAAAUUAGGAUCUGCUAAUUUUCUCUGAAACUAGACUCACAUAUCUUCUUAUCACAAAAUUUUCAUAAUUUUUGGUUUAGCCAAUAAGUACAGUUUAUUUUUUAAAGUCACCUCGUUCUGCUGUCUGUCAAUUCCAACCCUUCUUCACUAAAAAUUAAUUAUCACUUCGUACAGAAUUCGGAUGAUGUCCAUGUUUGUUUCUAUUGAAAAUAGACUCAUUAAGGAUUUUAAAAUAUAAAUUUAAUCCCAUAAUUAUUUUUCUCAAUUAUUUGAUGAUUUUCCAAAGUCAGAGCAGGGGAACCCAAAAUCAUUCUGAAAUUGUCUCACAAAAUCUAUUAUAUCUCAUGAUCUACAAUUCCGUUGUUUACACUGUUUCUUCUAUGAGAAACUAGACUCAAUAAGCUUUAAUUUCAUAUUUUUUUCAUCUUUUAAUUUGAUUUCUAAAAUUUAUGGAGAUUUUUCAAAGUUAGACUACUGCUGCUGUCCAAAACUGUUUUAGUGCAAAUGUUGAUUUCGAUUUUUGCCCCAAAUUUCACAGUUCAUACAAUUCAGUCCUUACUCAAUUAAUCCCUCAAUGAAGCUAAUUUUUCCUAAUUAAUGCUUUACCUAGACAUUAUAAGUUAUUUCACAAUUAUUUAAAUUCAUAAUUUCCACAUAAAACCCUAACUUCAAACUAUUUCACCAUUAGGUCCCAAACAUUCACUUUCUAUUCAAUUCUUUCAAUAAAAUCAGCAUAUAAACAAUUUAAAACUCUAAUUCCAUGCUAAAUCAUCAUAUACUUCCAGCACAUAUUCAUAGAAACUUCCAAUUUCUUUCAUAGAAUCAAAAACUAAUGAAUUCAACAAGUGGACCUAGUUGUAAAAGUCAUAAAAACACAAAAAUUUCAAGAAAUAAUCAAGAAUUGAACUUACUUGCAGUAAAAAUAUGAAAAACCAGCUUAAGAAAACCCUUAUAUGGUGUUUUUUUCUAAUGAGAAUGCAGAAAAAUAAUGAGAAAUCUAGAUAAUUCCACUUUAGUCCUAGGUUUAUUAAGUAAAUUUUGCAAUAUUCCAAUUUUGCCCUUAAUCCAUCAAUUUUCCUGCUGAUUUCAUGCCUCUUGCCGUCCAGCCCAAAUAGACCUUGGGUCUAUUUUCCUUUUAAACCCUCUUUCUUUUAUCAUUUAAGCUAUUUAAUCAUUUUCCAUAAUUUUACAUUUGUUAUAAUUUAAUCCUUUUUAUUCAAUUAACUAUCGAAACUUUAAAAUUUCUUAACGAAACUUUAAUACUAACUUAUUAACACUCCAUAAAUAUUUAUAAAAAUAUUUAUGGCUCGUUUUAAAAUUUUCAAACUCUCGAUAUCUCAUAUCCGAUUCUAAUUUUUAAAAUUUUUAUUUCUAGUACACUAUUCGCUAUUUCAAAAAUUUUCCUAACUUCACACUUAACUUAUAUUCACUAAAUUAUUAAUAUUUUAUACUCAUUUGUCAGAUUUAGUGAUCUCGAAUCACUGUUUCGACACCACUGAAAAUUUAGGCUAUUACAAUUCUCCCCCUCUUAAGAAAUUUCAUCCUCGAAAUUUCUUACUUGAAAAUAGGUUCGAAUAUUGUGAUUUCAUUGAUUCCUCUGUUUCCCAAGUUGCUUCCUCCACACCAUGUCGAUGCCACAACACUUUAACUAAUGGUACCUUUUUAUUCCGCAGUUCUUUAAUUUCCCGAGCUAAAAUCUUCACUGGUUCUUCUGAAUAAGUUAUAUCUGACUGAAGCUGAAUUUCUGUAUGCGAAAUCACAUGUGAAGGGUCUGAUCUAUGACGUCUCAGCAUAGACACAUGGAAGACAUUAUGAAUCUUCUCAAGCUCUGGAGGUAAAGCUAAUCGAUAUGCUACAGGGCCGACUCUUUCAAUAAUCUCGUAUGGUCCAAUAAAUCUUGGACUUAGUUUUCCUUUUCUGCCAAAUCGUAAUACUUUUUUCCACGGCGACACCUUUAAGAACACUUGAUCACCCACAUUAAACUCUAUUUCUCUUCUUUUCAAGUCAGCAUAUGAUUUCUGACGAUCCGAAGCAGCUUUCAGACAAUCUCAGAUAAUCCGAACCUUUUCUUCAGUUUCCCGAAUUAAAUCGACCCCCACCUACUUCGAUUCACUCAAUUCUAACCAAUGCAAUGGAGUCUUACAUUUUCUUCCAUAUAAAGCUUCAAAUGACACCAUUUUAUACUGGAUUGAUAACUGUUGUUGUAAGCAAAUUCGGCCAGUGGUAAAUAUUUUUCCCAACUACCACCAAACCCUAGUAUACAACAUCUCAACAUGUCUUCCAAAAUCUGAAUUACCCGCUCUGAUUGCCCAUCAGUCUGAGGAUGAAAAGCGGUACUAAAAUUUAGCUUUGUGCCUAAAGCUUCCUGUAGUUUGCUCCAAAACCUCGAUGUAAACCUUGGAUCUUGAUCCGAAAUAAUGGAUGUUGGAACCCCAUGUAACCUCACAAUCUCAGAAGUACAGUUCUCCUAACUUCUCCGGUGGAAAAUCUGUUCUGACUGGAAUAAAAUGUGCUGAUUUUGUCAAUCUAUCAACAAUUACCCAGAUUGAAUCUUUCUUCUUCGGGGUCACAGGUAACCGGAUACAAAAUCCAUCGUAACAUGUUCCCACUUCCACUCUGGAAUCAUAAUAGGUUGUAAUAAACCCGUUGGUACCUGAUGUUCUGCUUUCACCUGUAGACAUAUUAAACACUUUGCUACAAACUCACAAAUUUCCCUUUUCAUACCAAGCCACCAAUACAUCUGUUUCAAAUCACAAUACAUUUUUGUACUUCCAGGGUGAAUAGAAUACCUACUACUGUGAGCUUCAGAAAGAAUAUCAUUUUUCAAGUCUGAAUUAUUUGGAAUGCAAAUUCUUUUACGAUAGUAUAACAUACCAUUCUCAUCAAUGUUAUACUCUGAAUCCUGCUUGUCUCGAGCUAUUUGUUUCUUUAAUACCAAUUUUGAAUCUUCAUCUUGCAACUCCCGAAUUCGUUGGAGAAACACAGGUUUGGCUUUAAAUUCCGCUAUUACAAAUCCAUCUUCACUAACAAACAAAUGGGCAUUCAUUGACCGGAGUGCGAACAAAGAUGAUUUCCGACUGAGUGCGUCCGCAACUAUAUUAGCCUUCCCCGGAUGAUAAUCGAUAACAAGGUCAUAAUCUUUUAAUAACUCGAGCCAUCUUCUCUGUCUCAAAUUCAACUCUUUCUGCGUCAUCAAAUACUUCAAACUUUUAUGAUCUAUAUAAACAUAACAUUUUUCACCAUAUAAAUAAUGUCUCCAAAUUUUCAAAGCAAAAACAAUUGCAGCCAACUCCAAAUCAUGUGUAGGAUAAUUCUUCUCAUGUGAUUUUAGCUGCCGAGAAGCAUAGGCCACCACUUUUCCCGACUGCAUCAGCACACAACCUAAACCAUUCAAAGAUGCAUCACUGUAUACAACAUAUGGCACACCUGAUUCUGGUUGAGUCAACACUGGAGCUUUUGUCAACAUAUUCUUCAAUUGAUCGAAACUUUGCUGGCAUUCGUUAGACCACACAAACUCAACAUUUUUCUGUAGCAAUCGUGUCAUAGGCGAAGCAAUCAUUGAAAUUUUUUUAAUAAAACGGCGAUAAUAUCCAUUUAAACCCAGAAAACUUCGUACUUCCGUUACAUUCUUUGGAGUUUUCCAAUUUACCACUGCAGAUACUUUAUUCGAAUCUACUCGAAUCCCUUCGGCUGAAACAAUGUGACCCAGAAAUCCCACCUCAUGAAGCCAAAAUUCAUAUUUGCUGAAUUUUGCAUAUAAUUUCUUUUCUCACAAAGUUUGUAACACUAUCCUCAAAUGUUGGGCAUGCUCCGGUUCUGUCUUUGAAUAGAUCAGUAUAUCAUCAAUAAACACAACUACAAAUCUAUCCAAAUAAGGCUAAAAAAUCCGAUUCAUUAAGUCCAUAAAUGCAGCAGGGGCAUUAGUUAAACCAAAAGGCAUUACCAAAAACUCGUAAUGACCAUACCGAGUUCUGAAGGCAGUUUUCGGCACAUCACAUUCUUUAACUUUCAGUUGAUAAUAUCCGGAUCGAAGAUCUAUCUUUGAAAACACAGCAGCACCUUUCAACUGAUCAAACAAAUCAUCAAUGCGAGGCAAAGGAUAUUUAUUUUUAAUUGUAACCCUGUUUAGCUGCCUGUAGUCUAUGCACAGUCUUAGAGAUCCGUCUUUCUUUUUCACGGACAAAACUGGUGCACCCCAAGGUGACAUACUCGGUCUAAUAAAUCCUUUGUCUAGUAAUUCCUGCAACUGUGUCUUUAGCUCUUUUAACUCAGCUGGUGCCAUACGGUAUGGUGUCAUUGAUAUAGGAGCUGUCCCCGGUACUACAUCAAUCACAAAUUCAACUUCCCGAUCUAGUGGUAAACUCGGUAAUUCUUCAGGAAAUACGUCAGGAAAUUCAUUAACAACCUGCAACUGUUCUAGUUUUGGUUCAGAUCCUUGAGUAUCAAGGAUGUAAGCUAAAAAUACUUCAUUACCCUUCCGCAUUAACCUCUGAGCCAAAAAAGAUGAAAUAAUUUUAACAACAUCAUUUGAAUUCUCAGGCUCAACAGAAAGUAUAUCACCUGUCCGACAUUUCAAACUGAUCCGCUUCUCACGACAAUUUACCACAACAUCAUAUUUUGUCAACCAAUCCAUUCCCAAUAUAACAUUAAAUUCCCGAAAAGGUAGCAACAUUAAAUCAACAGGGAACUCACAGCCUUUUAUUUUCAGUGGACAAUUUCGACACACUAAAUUUACCAUCAUCUUUUGUCCUAACGGAUUAGUAACUUGAAUAUCAUAUUCAGUUGGUUCAACUGACAAUUUCUUUUCUAAUGCUAAUACUGUGCAAAUAUAAGAAUGUGUACACCCUGGGUCAAUUAAUGCAUAUACAAUAACAUCAAAGAGAUAGAAAGUACUAGCAAUAACGUCUGGAGUCGUGGCUUCUUUCUAGCUCGGAUGGCAUAUGUACGUGCUGGUGCUCUAACCUCAGACCGAGCAACAGAAUCUUUUGCACUCGAGCGAAUAGCUCUUGCAGCACUGCUUUGACUCGCAUGUUUACUUCUCUGAGAAGUAGUCAUCUGUUUCUCCUUCGUUCUUCUUCAUCUUUUUGUAACAGAGGACGAUUUCGGAUAAAAUGAUCAGUAGCUCCACAUUUGUAGCAAGCUCCUAUUUUACCUCUGCAUUCACCCAAGUGGUAUUUUCCACAGUGUUGACAUUUAGACCUGGGAGUAUUUUGUACACUGGCUUCACUAGCAAUUGAUCUGAUUGAUAUUCCACGAUCAGGUUGAGUUACUCUAGUCUUCGAUCAUUCAAGUACCGAUGUAGCUCUAAUGGAAUCCUCCUUAAACUUUUUAAUCGGAAAUGCUGAAAAUGUUUUGGAGGAGCUUCUUUUAUAAGAUUCUUUAUUUCUUCUUUCUCGUUGCAUCUUUCUGUUGUACACUUCUUCCAUCUUUUGAGCUCGAUCGGAUAAAACCACAAAUUCUCAAAUUCCGUACCACCUAUUAUCAUUCUGAUUUCAUCAUUCAGACCUUCUUCAAAUCAAACACACAUGUCUUCUUCUGUAGGAACAAUCUCUCGAGCAUAUUUGCUAAGGUAUACAAACUCCCUCUCAUACUCAGCUACUGUCCGAUUUCCCUAUCGAAGAUCAAGAAAUUCUCUCUUUUUCUUUUCUAAAUAUCUUUUACCAACAUAUUUCUUUUUAAACUUAGCUUGGAAAAAUUCCCAAGUAAGUUUAUCGGCUGGUACCACAGCUUCUAUUGUCUCCCACCAGUGAUAUGCUUCUUCUUUUAACAAGGAAACAGCACACCUUAAAUAGUCAUAUGGAGAACAAGCCAUUUGUUUAAAAACUCUUAUCGUGCUAUGCAACCAAUACUCAGCUUUUAUUGGAUCAUCAUCUAACCUGCCCCGAAAUUCUUCAGCCCCAAAUUUUCUGAGUUUUUCUACCGGAGUUCUCUUACUUGAUUCAGUUGCUGGAGGAGGUGGAGGAGAAAUCGAGGAUAUUACUGGUGGGACUGUAGGGGGAGAAGGUUGUUGGGUCUAAUUCCUUUCCUGCAUCCUCUCAUUAUACCACUGAUUCAUUACUCCAAUAAUCAUGUUUCUAAGUUCUUGUUCUCGCAUCAAGGAAGUUGGAACAUCGCUACUUGUCCCUUGUUCAGAUGUCUGUACUCUACUAUUUGCUUCUUCUUAUUCAGUAUGUUCAGGUCUAUCCGACAUCUUUAAAAUCUAUUAAAAAAAAUAAGGGUUAAAUCGGAUCAUACACAUCACACUAUAACAGAUUUAUAUGGCAUGUAUUUCUAAACAUUUUACGUAUCAUGUUUAUUCCGAGAAUCGGCUAAACCGGGCUCUGAUACCAAUAAAUGUAACACCCUCUAAUCCUAAUCCGUCGUCGGAAUAGGGUUACGAGGCGUUACCGAAUAUAUUGGUUAAUUUACAAACAAUUCAUGAAUAAAUAACAAAUAUAUUAAAAUUAAAUCAUUAAAUCUCUUUUAUGAACUCUCGAGGCCUAAAUCACGUAUUAUAAAUGAAUAGGGACUUAUUCAAGUACUCCGAAAAUUUUUCGUAAUAUAAUAAUAAUUAUAUAUUUUUUUAAAAAAAACUCAAUAUAACCCCUUUUGAAACAUCUAAACUUCCCUACAAUUUCAAAUUUGCAACUAACUCAACACAACAACAACUCAACAAAUACAAUCUUCAUCCAAAUCACAUUCGUCUUAUAACAAUAUCACUAAUCCUUAUUUUAUCUAACAUUAUAUCCAUUCAUACUUUCAAGUAGUAUUUAAACAUCUUAAUUAAUUUCCAUUCAUAUCAUAUAUCAACUUAUAUUAACUAAACUAAUAUAUUCAUGAGUUGAUACAAAACAUAGUCACAUAAGCUCCUAUACAUGCCAUAUAAACCAUUUAAAGUAUUUAUAACAAAAUCUACCGGAAAAUCGAGAUAGUGUGACUUGAGUGUGAUGAUCCGAUCCUCUGACCUUCCCGUUAAUCUACAAAGAGCAAUAAACAUUACAGGUAAGCUAACUAUAGCUUAGUAAGUUCGUCGGCUUAAACCAUAAACCUUACCAAUAUUAGUUUCAAAAAUUCAAAUCAUAUGGACAUUUCAAGUAAGUUACUUUCAUCCUGUAAAUCAUAAUUUCAUUUUAAAAAUAAUUUACUUAAUUGAGCUAAAAAAUAAUGAUAACAUUAUUUACAUUUCUUUUUCCACACGUUACAAUUACGACUUACCGACUUGUCAAUUUAAGGAACGACUUACAGAUUUGAGUACAUCGAGAUCUGAAACCCGAAAUCUAACUGAAGCACAUAAGUGCUAAAUGGAAGCCCGAAGGCUAACUGAAGCACAUAAGUGCUAAACAGAAGCCCGGAGGCUAACUGAAGCUCAUCAGAGCUGAACUGAAACCCCAAAAGGGUUAAUUGAAACUCAUAUGAGCUAACGGAAGCUCGUAAGAGCUAAACAAAAAGCAAACACGAGAGUUCGCAACAAAUGCUGAAUCCUGGUUUACUUGGGUAAUUUACCGUCAAUUCGUCUUUUUCAUCGAACGUUCGUACUCAUUUCCUGCAUUCCGUUCCUCCGAAAUACUCAGUUCAAUUUCGUAACUUUUGUACAUGAUUUAAUUAUUUUCAACAAUUAACAUACAUAAAUAUUAAUCACCAUUCAUAAAAUAAUAUUGAAAUUUAAUAAUUUAAUCGUACAAACUUACCCGGAAUAAUUUGCAGUAGUUGUAGAGAUUUCUGGAACUAUUCCGGAAUUUUCCCUUUUCCUCGUUUAUCCUCGAUUUCUUAAUCUAUAAUAUAAAAUUUUUCACUUAUCAGUAUUGACUUCACAUUCAUUCUAUUUCACGUCCUUAAUGUUUAUAACUCGCUUAUAAGUAACAUUAUCUGGAAUUUCACUAUUUAUCUAUGUAUAUUCAAUGCUGUCCAUCAGUGUCAUAGUCACUAAAUUAUUUUUAUCUUGAGUUACAGAACUCAAAAUUAGGAUCCGCUAAUUUUAUCUAAAACUAGACUCACAUAUCUUCUUAUCAUAAAAUUUUCAGAAUUUUUCGUUAAGCCAAUAAGUACAGUUUAUUUUUUAAAGUCACCCAUGUUCUGCUGUCUGUCAAUUCCGACCCUUCUUCACUAAAAAUUAAUUAUCUCUUCGUAAAAAAUUCGGGUGAUGUCCAUGUUUGUUUCAAUUGAAAAUAGAUUCAUUAAAGAUUUUAAAAAUAUAAAUUGAAGCCCCUAAUUAUUUUUAUCAAAUAUUUUAUGAUUUUCCAAAGUCAGAACAGGGGAACCCGAAAUCAUUCUGAAAUUGUCUCACAAAAUCUAUUAUAUCUCAUGAUCUACAACUCCGUUGCUUACACCGUUUCUUGUAUGAGAAACUAGACUCAAUAAGAUUUAAUUUCAUAUUUUUUCAUCUUUUAAUUCGAUUUCUACAAUUUAUGGUGAUUUUUCAAAGUUAGACUAUUGCUGCUGUCCAAAACUGUUUUAGUGCAAAUGUUGAUUUCGAUUUUUGCCCCAAAUUUCACAGUUCAUACAAUUCAGUCCUUACUCAAUUAAUCCCUCAAUGAAGCUAAUUUUUCCUAAUUAAUGCUUUACCUAGACAUUAUAAGUUAUUUCACAAUUAUUUAAAUUCAUAAUUUCCACAUAAAACCCUAACUUCAAACUAUUUCACCAUUAGGUCCCAAACAUUCACUUUCUAUUCAAUUCUUUCAAUAAAAUCAGCAUAUAAACAAUUUAAAACUCUAAUUCCAUGCUAAAUCAUCAUAUACUUCCAGCACAUAUUCAUAGAAACUUCUAAUUUCUUUCAUAGAAUCAAAAACUAAUGAAUUCAACAAGUGGACCUAGUUGUAAAAGUCAUAAAAACACAACAAUUUCAAGAAAUAAUCAAGAAUUGAGCUUACUUGCAGUAAAAAUAUGAAAAAACAGAUUAAUAAAACCCUUAUAUGGUGUUUUUUUUCUGAUGAGAAUGCAGAAAAAUAAUGAGAAAUCUAGAUAAUUCCACUUUAGUCCUAGGUUUAUUAAGUAAAUUUUGCAAUAUUCCAAUUUUUCCCUUAAUCCAUCAAUUUUCCUGCUGAUUUCAUGCCUCUUGCCGUCCAGCCCAAAUAGACCUUGGGUCUUUUUGCCUUUUAAACCCUCUUUCUUUUAUCAUUUAAGUUAUUUAAUCAUUUCCUAUAAUUUUACAUUUGUUACAAUUUAAUCCUUUUUAUUCAAUUAACUAUCGAAACUUUAAAAUUUCUUAACGAAACUUUAACCCUAACUUAUUAACACUCCAUAAAUAUUUAUAAAAAUAUUUAUGACUCGUUUUAAAAUUUUCAAACUCUCGAUAUCUCAUAUCCGAUUCUAAUUUUUAAAAUUUUUAUUUUUAGUACACUAUUUGCUAUUUCAAAAAUUUUCCUAACUUCACACUAACUUAUAUUCACUAAAUUAUUAAUAUUUUCUACUCAUUUUUCAGAUUUAGUGAUCUCGAAUCACUGUUCCGACACCACUGAAAAUUUAGGCUAUUACAUUUCUCAUCACUUUCUCUUAUUUUCUCUUCACUAACAUAUCAAGAACAUAAGACCUUAUAAAAGAAAACUCUACUAUAACAUUAUUUCCAUGCUUUGUCAAUAAUAACAAACUUAAAAACAUAUUGAAAUCUUGAUAUACUUACCUUGUUCUAUUGAUACUAAUCUUUAACUUGAUUUUCUCUCUCCUCCAGCUUCUAUUUCUUGAAUCCAACUUGAUAUUCUAACUCCCCAUGGUCUCCUUAACAUUUUUCUCUCUUAGUAGCUAUGGAAAUUCUUUUGAUUUCUAGGUGAAAAUGGUGAAUUUUUUUGGUGGAAGGACCAAAUUGUAAAGAAAAGAAAAUUUCAUUCUUUUCCUUCUCUUCUAACGUUAGUUGCAUGCAUGGAAAGAUGAUGAAAAUUCUUCAUCUUUCCUUCCUUUUAUACUAAAUAAUUAAUAAUGAAAUAAUAAUAAAAUAAUAAAAUAUCUCAUUAAAAUAAUAUAUAUCUAAUUAAAUAAUCAUAAAAUAUCAUCAAAAUCAUCAUUACUUUCUAGAUUUCUCUCUCUUCCAAUUGACCAUUUUGCCCUUUAUUAUCUUUUAAGAUUCCAUCCUUGAGUCAUCAUUUAAUUUGGCUAAAUUGCAAUUUAGUCCCUCAUAGUUCUUCACCUAUUCAAUUUGGUCCUAAUUCAUCCAUUUUCCUUAGUUUCUAGAUCAUUCCACUCUUAAAAUAUUUACACUAUUGGUCCUUCAACUUUUUCAUAUUUACACUUUAACCCUUCAAAUUUUGAGUAUUUACUCUUGUACAACAAAACUUUUCUCACUUUUACAAUUUAGUCCUUUCUUGAAUUAAUAUAUCAUAAUAUACUUCUCAAUAUUGACAUAACUUAAAAUUUCCCUUUUUUUCAUUUUAUUUCCUUAUUUUACUAUAUCAAGGAUAAUAUCUUAUUGUAAAAAUUUUCAGGGUAUUACAGAAUCCAUUCUGCUUCAUCUAGUUUUAUCUUCGACAAAAUUCGGAGAGAAGGUAUUUCUACUUCAAUAGGUAACACUGCCUCCAUUCCAUAUACCAACGAAAAAGGAGUUGCCCCAAUAGAGGUUCUGAUGGACGUUCGAUAAGCUAAGAGUACAAAUGGUAACUUCUCAUGCCAAUCUCUGUAGGUUUCAGUCAUUUUCCCCACUAUCCUCUUGAUAUUCUUAUUUGCUGCUUCUACUGCCCCAUUCAUUUUUGGGCGAUACGGAGAAGAGUUAUGAUGCUUAAUCUUGAACUGACUGCAAACUUCUGCUAUGGUUUUGUUGUUCAAGUUCAAUGCAUUGUCUGAUAUGAUCCUUUCAGGCAUCCCAUACCGACAAAUGAUCUCUUUCUUCAAGAAUCGACUCAUAGCCGACUUAGUAACAUUCGCACAAGAAGCAGCCUUUAUCUACUUUGUUAAGUAAUCAGUGACCACAAAGAUAAAGCGAUGCCCAUUUGAAGCUUUUGGUGAUAUUGGCCCAAUGACAUCCAUGCCCCACAUGGAAAAAGGCUAUGGAGAAGUCGUAACAUGUAGAGGUGAAGGUGGUACAUGAAUCUUGUCUCCAUAAAUCUAACAUUUAUGGCAUUUCUUGGCGUAGUUGAUACAAUCCCCUUCCAUAGUAGACCAAUAAUAUCCAAACCUCAUGAUUUGUCUAGCCAUUGUGAAACCAUUAGUGUGCGUCCCACAAACACCCUCGUGAACUUCUUCCAAGAUUAACUUAGCUUCCACGGCGUCAACACAUCUCAAUAGUACUUGGUCCUUUCUUCUUUUGUACAAGAUGUCCCCAUCCAAAACGAAGUCGCAGGCUAAUCUCCUUAAAGUUCGCUUAUCGUUUUCAGUUGCCUGUUCUGGGUAUUUACGAUCUCUCACAUAUUGCAAUAUAUCCUGAUACCAAGGGUUAUCAUCCUUUUCUUCUUCCUCAAUGUUACAACAGCGAUCUGGAGCCUCAAAGAUACUCAUCUGAAUGAGUCUCAUCUCCUCCUCUUUAUUUGCUUUAAUCAUUGAAGCCAAGGUUGCUAGAGCAUCUGCCAUCUGGUUUUCAUCUCGUGGGAUAUAAUUGAAAGUGAUGUCAUCAAAUUCCUCAAGUAAUCUCAAAACUACCUUUCGAUAAUUGAUCAAUUUAUGAUCCCUUGUCUCCCAUUCACCUCUAAGUUGGUAAAUUACCAACGCAGAAUCUCUAUAUACUUCCAAGGUUUUUAUUCCUCGCUCUAUACCCGCUCGGAGUCCCAUGAUGCACGCUUCAUACUCGGCCAUAUUGUUUGUACAAUCAAAAUCCAAGUUGCACGUGAAUGGAUAAUGAUCACCAUUUGGGGAUACCAAGAUUGCCCCAAUUCUAUUUCCCACCUCAUUGGAUGCCCCAUCAAAGCUUAACUUCCAAGUACAAUCCUCUGUAGUUGCUAUACACAUCAACUCCUCAUUUGGGAACUCGAAAUUCAACGGCUCAUAGUCCUCUAGAGCUCUACUAGCCAGAAAUUCCGCUAUCGCGCUUCCUUUUAUAGCCUUCUAGCUCACAUAGACUAUGUCAAACUCUAAAAGCAGAAUUUGCCACCUCGCCAUUCUCCCAUUCAAAGCUGUCGACUCCAUCAUAUACUUCAAACGAUCAAGUUUUGAAAUAAGCCAAGUAGUAUGAUAUAGCAUGUACUGUCUUAACCUUCGAGUCGUCCAGAUUAAAGUACAACAUAAUUUCUCAAUUGGCGAAUAUCUCAUCUCACACUCUAUGAAUUUCUUGCUGAGGUAGUAUAUUGCCUUCUCUUUUCUUCCCGAUUCGUCAUGUUGACCAAGCACACAUCCCAUAGAAUUACUAAACACUGAUAAGUACAGAAUUAAUGGUUUAUCCGGACUAGAUGGGGAUAGUACUGGAGCGUUUAGCAGGUAUUGCUUGACUUUGUCAAAGGCAUUCUGGCAUUCCUCAUUCCAAGUACCUUGGUUGUGUUUUUUAAGGAGGCAAAAUAUAGGAUCACAUUUCUCAGUUAAUUGUGAAAUUGUAAUGACCCAAAUUUUUACAGUUAUCAAAAAAGUGCAUUUUCGGGUCUCCGUUUCUAAAAAAAUAGAUUUGUAAAUAUUUAUUAAAAAUAUUUACGAAGUUAAGAGAGUGAUUAAUUAAAGUUUAAUGAAGCAAAUUAGCUUAAAUAAAGGAUAAUUAGAUAAAAGGAUUAAAUUGAAUGAAGUGUGAAAGUUUAAUUAUAGAAUAAAGAAAAUUAAAAGGACUAAAUAAGAAAUAAACCAAAAAGAGUGCCAAGUGUAUGGCAAAAAUAAAAUACAAGUAUAAUAAAUAUAAUACACACAUUUGUAAUACAUAUAUUUAUUUGCUUAUUAUUUAAGUAAAUAUUAAUGUAUUUAUUAUUAUUAAAUUACUAUUAUAUGAUAAAUAAAUAAAAAAGUUGACAAAUGUAUGGUAUGUAUAGUGACAUGUGUGAUACUAAUAUACAUACAUUUGUAAAAUACAUGUAUAUUUACUUAUUAUAUAAGUAUAUUAUUAAAUUAUAUAUUAUUAUUAAGUAAAAUAUAUUUAUAUAAUAAAUAGAUUAAAGAAAGACAAAUGUAAUAAUAUAUGUGUAUACAAAUGUAAAAUAGAUAUUGGAUAUUAAAUAGAUAUUUUAUUAUAACUAUUAUUAAGUUAUUAUAAUAUAUAUAAAGUAAAAGAAAUAAAAAGAAAAAGUAUAGAAAAAGAAAGAAAGGAUGAAACGAAAUAGAGAGCAGGGGAAAGAAAGAAGGAAAAAAAAAGAAAGAAGGAAAAAGGGAAAAAUUGGGAUUUCAAGGCUUGAAAGUUAAAUAGGCAAGUCAAUUUAGCCCUUUUUACUUAAUUUUGAUGUUUUGGAAGCUUUGGGACAAGGUUUUGAUGAAAUUAAGUGAAUAUUUUGAAAGUUAUUAGAUUUUUAAAUAUUGUUCAUGUUGAAUAAAAAGAUGAAUUAGGGGUUAGAUUGAUAGGAAUUCAAGUUAGAAAUGAAAUAAGGAUUGAAUUGUAAAUGAAUUCAUAAGUUUUAUGUUGUAGGGACUAAAUUGAUAAAAUUUCAAAAUUAGGAAAAUAUGCUGGAAAUUUAAUAGUUAAGUAUGAGUUUAGUUAAAAAUUGAGUAGAAAUAAAGUAUGAAUUAAGAUAGAAAAGUAAGUGAAUUUAGUUAGGAUUAAAUUGAAAUUAAAAGUAGAAAAUCAACAUUUUGCACUAAGACUAUUUUGGACAGCAGCAGUAUUCUAAGUUUUAAAAAUCACCAAAAAUUGUAGAAAUUGAAUUAGAGAAUUAAUAAAAUAUGGAAUUAAAUCUUAUUGAGUCUAGUUUCUUAUAGAAGAAACGGUGUAAGCAAUUGAAUUGUAAAUUAUGAGAUAUAAUGAAUUUUGUGAGACAAGGUCAGAAUGAAUUCGGGUUCCCCUGUUCUGACUUUGAAAUAUCACAACAAAUUGAAGAAAAAUAAUUAGAGGCUUAAAGUUAUAUUUUUAGAAUUUAUAAUGAAUCUAUUUUCAGGAGAAAUCAACGGGAAUAUUAUCCGAGUUCUGUACUGUGAGAUAAUUAAUUUUUAGUGAAGAAGGGUCGGAACUGUCAGACAGCAGAAUAGGGGUGAAUUUAAAGAAUAAACUGUACCUAAUGGCUAAACUAAAAAUUCUGAAAAUUUUAUGGUAAGAAGAUAUAUGAGUCUAGUUUCAGGGAAAAUUAACGGAUCUUAAUUUAUAGUUCUGUAGCUCGAGUUAUAAAUAACUUAGUGAGUAUGACACAGAUGGACAACUUGAAUAUUCAUAAAAGUAAAUAAUAAAAAUUAUAGAUAAUGUUACUGACAAGUGUGUUAUAUACACUAAGGAUGUGGAAUGGAGAGGAGGAGGAGGAAAAAUAUGUAUGAAUAUUCAUCUAGCAUGGCUAAUUUGCAUGUUUUAGGCUCAGGGACUAAAUUGAAUAAAAGUAAAACUUUAUUGGUAAUUUUGUAAAAAUGUCAGAAAUGACCAAAUUGCAUGAAAUGGAUUAUUUUAUUAUUCUCACAGAUGGGCAGCUUGAAUAUUCAUAAAAGUAAAUAAUAAAAAUUAUAGAUAAUGUUAUUUACAAGUGUGUUAUAUACACUAAGGAUGUGGAAUGGAGAGGAGGAGGAGGAAAAAUAUGUAUGAAUAUUCAUCUAGCAUGGCUAAUUUGCAUGUUUUAGGCUCAGGGACUAAAUUGAAUAAAAGUAAAACUUUAUGGGUAAUUUUGUAAAAAUUCAGAAAUGACCAAAUUGCAUGAAAUGGAUUAUUUUAUUACUUAAAUUACAAAAUUGAAUGAAAUUAUUAAUUUAGUUCAAGAUCGGGGGAAAACAUGUUUUAGGGAUUAAAUUGAAAAGUGUUGAAAUUAUGGAAAAUUCUGAUAUUUUAUAGAAUUCAUGAAUUGUUAUCAAUAUGUAUGAGAAUAAUAUCUAGAAAUAAGGAUUAAAUUGCAAGUAUUUUAUUUUCCUGACCCUAAGGAUGAAAUCGUCAUUAAUUAAAAGUUUAGGGGCAAAAUGGUAAUUUUGCCUAGAGCAUUAAUUAAAUGCACUAGAAUAUGAAAUGAAUGAAAAUGAUGAUCAAAUUUAUUUAUAAAGAUCCAGACGACUCAAAUACGAGACUUGAUCGUGGAAAAUAAAAAUAUCGAAUUAAUGAAAUUAUAAACACAAACAAGCAAUGAGGUAAGUUUGUGUAACUUGAAUUGUAUUUUUAAAUACUUGAAAUAUGUGGUUAUGUGAUGAAAAUAUGAUUUGAAUGUUCAAUUCAUGAUAAUUGAUGAAAUAUUGAUAAUACUCGAUAUAAAUUGAAAAUAAAUCCCGAUUAAAUGGAAUGGAAUUCGAUGGAUCAUUGGAAAAGGAAUUGACGGUCAAAAGGAUCUAGCCCGGACGGGUGAUCCUAUUCUGAUAUAGCCCUCCCAAAGAAUACGUGUAAAAUGGAUUUAGCCCGGAUGGGUAAUCCGAAUUAGGGUCUGAAUUUAGCCUGGACUAGUAAUUCAGAUCCAAGCUCAUUAGAGUAAUUGUCGUUGCAGGGGAUUUAGCCUGGACUGGUAAUCCCGACAAUACUCUAUGAGUUUAUAUUACAGGGGAUUUAGCCUGGACUGGUAAUCCCGCUGUAAGGAUUAGGUUCGCGGGAGUGUGCUUUCUGAAAUAAAAUGUGUAAGACCAUGGUUGAAAGAUACCAUGGCAACAUGAUAUAAAAUGUGUAAGACUAUGGUUGAAAGAUACCAUGGUAACAUGAUGAAAUGUGUAAGACCAUGGUUGAAAGAUACCAUGGCAACAUGAUAUAAAAUGUGUAACACCAUGGUUGAAAGAUACCAUGGCAACAUGAUAUAAAAUGUGUAAGACCAUGGUUGAAAGAUACCAUGGCAACCUGAAAUGAAAAGAAUAAGACCAUGGUUGAAAGAUACCAUGGCAACAUGACAGAAAAUGAAUGAGUAAGACCAUAGUUGAAAGACACUAUGGCAUCAUGUCAAAGAUAAAUAAGACCGUGGAUGGGAGACGCUAUGACAUCUAUUGAACAAUUAAUAUUCAGGUAAUACUUAUCAGAUGACGAAUGGUUAUAUGAAAUGGUUGUGUGAAAUGUUUACAAUAACUGGUCAUAUGGAAAUAUAUGUACAAAAUAGUUGUAUGAAAUAAUUAUGAAGAUAAAUAAACGAAAUAAGUAUAAGUACAUGGAAUAUAAUUAUGUCAAGUUUGAUAUAAACUAUUACCGGAAUAAAUAUACAUAAAAUAUAUGGAAAUGAUGGAGCAUGAAAUAUUGAUAUAAUGAAAUGAAUGAUAUAUGCUUAUGAAGAAACGGUAAGAGCAUGAUAUGUUUCAUGACAUGUACAUAUAUGAUUAUCUUUGAUAUGUUGAUACAAGGAAAUUAUGUAAGUUAAGACUAUUAUUAAACUCAAGUGCGAUAUGUAGAGAAAAUAAGUAUAUCAAUGCUGAAUUUAGAUGAAAUGUGUGCAAGUAUACUAACAAUGAUGUUGUUUGACGCUUAGACAAGUGCCAAACUAUUGAUUGAACGUAACAUGUUUAAUUAUAAGGAGCAUUGAAAUAGUAAGUACUUAGAUGAAAAUAAAAUUUAAGAUUUUGCGAAAUUUUUUUUAUAAUCCCGAUUUAAUUCCAGUUGGUUUUUAAUGUAUGUUUGGGGCUUCGAAGGCCCAAUAGAGAGACGUUAUGAUUAUUUUUAAAAUAUGAAUAAUAAAUGACUCAGAAUUAUCUGAAAAUGUUCAGUAAACUCCGGUAAUGCCUCGUACCCUAUUCCGGAAAUGGAUAUGAGUAGGGGUGUUACAGAAAUAAACCGAGCAAUAUAAUUCAACCUUCCAAGAAAACCCUGAACUUCCUUCCGAGUACGUGGUAGAGGCAAAUCUCGUAUGGCUCUAACUUUGUCUGAGUCAACUUCUAUUCCCUUUUCGCUGACCACAAAGCCGAGUAAUUUCCCCGACCUAGCUCCAAAAGUGCACUUUGCUGGAUUAAGUUUUAACUGAAACUUUCGUAAUCUCAGGAACAGCUUCCUCAAAACUUCAAUAUGUUCCUCCUCCGUUCGAGAUUUGACAAUCAUAUCAUCAACAUACACCUCAAUUUCUUUGUGCAUCAUAUCAUGGAAUAAGUUCACCAUAGCCCGUUGGUAUGUUGCCCCUGCAUUCUUUAAUCCAAACGGCAUUACUUUGUAACAAAAGGUGCCCCAUAAUGUUAUGAAUGUGGUUUUAUCCAUGUCUUCCGGAUGCAUCUUGAUCUGGUUGUACCCUGAGAAACCAUCCAUGAAGGAGAACAACGAAUAUCCCGCUGUGUUGUCUACCAAAGUGUCUAUGUGUGGCAGAGGGAAAUUAUCUUUUGGGCUAGCUUUGUUCAGAUCUCUGUAAUCAACGCACAUUCAUACCUUCCCAUCCUUCUUAGGGUCUGGUACAAUGUUAGCUACCCAUUCAGAGUACUUCACCUCUUGUAAGAAUCCUGCAUCGAACUGCUUCUUGACUUCGUCCUUUAUCUUCAAUACGAUAUCUGGUCUCAUUCUUCGCAACUUCUGUUGGAUUGGUUUACAAUCCUGUCUUAUUGGAGGACGAUGCACCACGAUAUCGGUAUUUAACCCUGGUAUAUCUUGAUAGGACCAUGCGAAGAUAUCCUUGAACUCACGUAGCAACUCAAUCAGUCCUUGCCUUGUGUCCUCAGCAAUAUGCGUGCCGAUUUUCACCUAUUUCCCUUCCUCUAGGUUUACAUUCUCUAUUGCCUCUUUCUCAUGGAGCAUGAUUUGUUUCUCCUCCUGUUUUACCAUCCUCAACAGAUCUAGAGACACAUCACAAUCCUAGACAUCCUCAAAAUCCUGAGAUUCCUCUAAACACAUGUCUUGUUCACGAGAGAAAUCAGGAUUUGUAAUAUCAGUGCUCAUGUCAUUGAUAUCUAGGGACCUGUGAAGUGUAAAGAAUGUACAAGGAAUGGAUGAAUUUAAGAAUGAUUAUUUAUGUGCUAUGAAUGAAAGUAUAAGAAUUGCAGAAGCUUAAGAGGAAUAUUGGUUGAUAAAAAAAACAAUACUCGUUCAAAUUGAUAAAAGUUAUGUUUUAUUAAAAAAAAUAAUAGAUGAUCGUAAGCCUAUCCCAUAAAUGUAAUCCUAUUACUCCUAGGCCCUAGAGUAACAAGGAUGUUUUGAAAAUUACUUUGAAAAAUUCCUAAAGACUACAUGAAGUUCCUCCACAGUCUAAUUGUUCAGAAAGCUUCCCGGUUUGUAAGGGCGAAUGCCGUCAAGGUUUCCUUGCUCUGAUCCUUCGUCGUGUAUAGCAUUAACCUGAUGACUUUCUUCUAUAAGUAACCCUCCCAAUAUGAAGGUUUGGGAUAGUGGAGGGAAUGUCAUCGGCUCUCACUCCACUUUUCUUCCAUUAUGGCGUGCCCUUCUUCCCUCUUGGCGCUUCUCAACUUCCUUCCUCCUUUGCUUAUAGUCUGGCUUGAAGCCCAAACCAAAGUGAUCUCUCUUCUCUUUCAGUUCUGGGAUUUGAGUUCCUCCUUACAGGUAUUUUCCUAACCCUCUUCCUGGUAAGGCUUCCUUUCCCACCAUCAUUUGUAGAGCCAUUCUUGCUAUCUUUGGCACCGGUGGCUCACUCCCUUCUGAAAUGAAGGUUGGAUUCACAAAUUCUAAAGUGCGAAAGGAACACUCAAUAAACUCUUCGUUCGUCUCGACAUAAGGGGCCUUACUAGUGACUGUGGCUAUAAUGUCCUCCUCUGCAUUGAUGGUUACUAACCGUCCAUCCGUCACUAACUUUAAUUUUUGGUGCAACGAUGAGGGCACUGCUCCCGCUGAAUGUAUCCAUGGCCUCCCUAAUAAGCAAUUGUAGGAGGGCUUGAUAUCCAUCACCAAGAAGUCUACUUCAUAUAUACUCGGCCCAAUUUCCAAGAGGAUGUCAAUCCCUCCUAUCACCUUCCUUUCUGUACCAUCGAAGGCUCUUACCAUAUUUUGACAUGUCUUCAUGUGAGAACCGUCAAUGGGUAAUCUGUUCAAUGUAGACAACGGUAGAACUUUCAAAGCUGAUCCAUUAUCGACGAGCACACUUGAGAGUGUGCACCCCUUGCAUCGAGUGGUGAUGUGCAAGGCCUUUGUUGACCCCCUGCCCCCUGGUGGGAUUUCAUUAUCAUUAAAGUAGAUGAAAUUAUUCGCACUUAUGUUAUUUACCAACCGGUCCAGCUUGUUAACAGAUAUGUCAUGGGUGACAUAUGUUUCAUUGAGCACCCUUAGCAAUGCAUUUCGAUGCACCUCAGAACUCAGAAGUAGAGCCAAUACUGAUAUGCGAGCCGGCUGCCUACGCAACUGUUCGACCACACUAUACUUGCUAUGGUUAAGGAACUUUAGAAAUUCCUUAGCCUUCUCCUCUUUUACUAGCUCCUUAACAGGCACUUCAGCCUCUUUUUCCUUCUCCGCACUAACAUUCUUUAAUUUUGUAGGCUCCUCUUUGACGCCCACCAUAUCAUACCGCUUCCCACUCCGUGUAUGGGGACCCUCAACUUGUACAUCUUUAGACGUACUAACUAUAUUCUCCUCCUCCGGCACUGUCACACUGCAGCCAUAGCUCCAUGGUACCCUAUUGCUAUCCUUAUAAGGGAAAGGCGUAGGCUUAUGGAUAAUGACCUUAGGCUCUGUGUAUGCCCCCACUUCAUUAUUCCUCAGCAGGGAAAUAAUAAUCCUUGGCCAGCUAGUUCCUUUCUGUUUAUCCUCCAGCACACACAGCUAGUUCCUUUUUGUUUAUCCUCCAGCACACAUACUUAUUUUUCACAAGAGCUACCUUAAAAAAAUUGUAGUUCUUUAUUGUCUAUAAAGCUUUGCACCAAGGCCUUGAAUUCUUCACAAUCUUGAACUUCAUGUCCUUCUUUCUCAUGGAACUCACCAUAAUUCCUUGUUUCUCUUCUCUCAUUUUUAGAGGUUAACAUGCCUCUCUUCAUCAUCUCCUCCCAAAUCACCUUCAUAGGCAUCCUCACCUCAGCAACAUCUUCCUUCAUUCUUCUCUCACUGGCUUCGCUAAUGGCAUUCACUCCUUGAUCGCUAUGAUUUGGCAACGAAUUUUUAGUAUUAGGGGUAUUGUAGAACUUCACUACCCCCAUCUUAAUAAGCCUCUCUACGGCCUUCUUAAAACAUGUACAGUUUUCGAUCGAAUGUCCCGGUAUUCCAGCAUGGUAUUCGCAUCUGGCGUUUGCAUCGUACCAUUUGAGAUAUGGGGGCUGCAGUGGUUUCAAAUGAAAAGAAGAAAUAGCAUGUGCAUCGUAUAAGCUUUGAUAAAGCUCACGAUACGUGACGGGGAUAGGCGUGAACUGCAUCCUUUCAGAACUCUGCCUUGUACCCAAUUCCUGCCUUUGAUAACUCUGUUGCUUAACCGCAGCUGUUUUAAGUUGACCAACGAUGAUUGCCUUCGCGUUGAAGGUGCUUGUGUUAUUCACUUCACUAUCCUUUCUCCUUGGAGCCGAUCUUUUGGUCGCUUCCCCCUCGAUUUUACCACCCCUUAUGGCAUUCUCGAUCAUCUCUCCCACCAUGACUAUAUUCGCGAAGCUUUUAGUGGUGCUCUCAAUCUUGUGAGUGAUGAAUGGAGCCUUUAGAGUGUUGAUGAACAACAUGGUACUCUCCUUUUCCAACAACGGUGGUUGAACUUGUAUUGCCACCUCUCUCCAUAUCUGUACAUAUUGCCUAAAAUUUUCAUUAGGCUUUUUCUCCAUGUUUUGCAGCGUGAUCCUAUCCGGAGUCAUGUCAGUCACAUGAUUGUACUGCUGCAUGAAGGCCUGUGCAAGAUUCCUCCAUGAACUUAUUCUGGCCCGGCUCAGUUGAUUAUACCACUUGGCUGCUGCUCCAAUUAAACUAUCUUGGAAACAGUGGAUCAACAGUUGAUCAUUAUUCACGUACCCAGUCAUCCUCCUACGGAACAUCUUAAUGUGGGUUUCUGGGCAAGUAGUUCCAUUGUACUUCUCAAAUUCUGGCAUCUUGAAUUUGUGAGGAAGCACCAAGUCUGGGACCAAGCUUAGAUCUUUGGCAUCAACUCUAUGAUGCCCAUCAGCAUUCUCUAAAGCCUUGAAUUUUUCCUCCAACCAUUUGCAGCAUUCUUCUAACUGUCUUGCAGCCUCAGUUCUAAAAUCCUCUUUUUCAGCCAUGUCUAAGUCAGGAAUAACAAGAUUUACAGGAUUGUCGCCCAAAUUAAAUCCCGAACCAGUUGGGAAAUUUAUGGGGAUCCCAGCAUCGACCGACCCUUGUUGAGGCCUUAUAGAGACAGACGACCUCCUAGGAAGUGCCUCAGUUGGUGUAGGCAAAUGGGGUGGGGUGAAACCUAGAGGAUGAUCCUCACCAGUAAUUGUCAUGGGAGCCUUUCCCUUAUCAGUGGCCCUCAGUAGUUGAGUCAUCUCAGCCAUCAUGUUCUUUUGAGCCUCCAACAUUUGCUCCCUCAUGUCGUUUUGCAUUUUUGCCAAUUGCUCUUUCAAUUGGUCCUGCAUGUCCUUCUGUAGCUGUUCAAAUCUUUGUUUCAUAUUCUUUGACUUAGCGUGCGUACCGUAGGGAUGUGUUGCUUCUAGAUUUUCUUUCUCUUACUCUCUUUCUCCCUAAUAAUUUUAACUAAUUAGGGUCUUUCUAUAAACUCGAAUACAUAUGAUGGAAUGAGAUGCUAUGAAAUGAAAAUGCAUGAAUGCAAAAAGAUGUCGAUUCUGAUUCAAUUUCAUUUUAGAAAACGUUAUUUAAGGAAAAAAUCUUUUCAUAAAACAGAUUACAAAUACGCUUUCGCCCGUAGGCCUAGAGUCUUAACCCUAUCUAAAAACAAUGCUAACUCUCGUCCUCUGUCUGACGAUGACUCAUACAUUAUACUCAGCGUUCUAGCUUGUACCGCCAAAUUUUGCAAGUGUUAAGUGUUCAGCGACCUCUCGAACCUGAACUAAGGCUUCUCCCAUGAGAUAAUCCCUAUUUCCAACUUGAUCCUGAAGAUGGUGAAGUUCUCCCUUCCAUUGUUCUUCUCUUGCCUUGAACUGCUCAAUCCGUAGCUCACAGUCCUGUAGUGCUGCUUCCAACCCUCCAAUAUCGUGCUUCAUUUCCUCGAUCUUAUUCAAGCUUGCCUUUAACUCGAUCACAGAGUUACGACUUUGGUGAUGAUGAAGAGAUCGUCCAAGUUCAGCCACCUUAAUUUUUAAUCCUUGAUUUUCCUUCUCUAGGGCCUGAUUACACGAUUGCUUCUCUUGAAACUUCUUCUCCCAAUACUCGGCUUUGGCUCUUUCUUCUUGAAUCUCUUGCUGCCACUGCUCGAAAGAUCUCCCUAAUCCAACCCUUUUCAACGUUACCUGGGCCUUUUUGUAGUGCGUCUUUAAAUCAUCUCGAUCUUUCUCUUUUCCUUUUUCACCUUAUCGACUUCUAUAUUUUGAAUAUCGACGUCCAGACUCAAGCACAUUUUUUCCUCUUCGAGCUUCUCAAUCCUCUUUUCAAGCUCUGAAUUCUUUCUCUCGAACUCUUGCUUCAUAACCUCCAACUCUGAUGGAAUCAAUCGUAAGCUCUCCUCUAAUGAUCGAGCCACCCCCAAAAUCGGCCUAGGGACAUUAUCGUUGACUCUCCUACUAAACCAUCUUUUAUACUCAAGGGUUGACAUCGAGCCUUCGGUCAAGAUCUUCAUACAGAAAGGCUUCUUCCAAGCCUCAGAGAUCUCUCGCAUCCUCUUUUUAUAGUGAUCUCCUUUAUAAGAGAAAUCACUCUGAGCUAGACCCUAUGUAACUGUUAUAAACUACCUCGCUCGAUAUUUCCUUAGAACAAGCAAUAAUGCAUAUCCAACCACUCCCCAAAUUCCUGGCAAAGGGACCCAAUCAAAACUACCACAGCGGUAGAGGACUUCACUAGGAACCAACCAAGGAGCCUUCCACAUAACAUCUUUCUCUCGAAGAUUCUGAAGAAUGUCUAUCCACCUUUCCUCUGAAAUGUCAUCUCUCCUAGGCAUGUCUACUGCUUCUUUUAAGGGAGAAUAACCCUUAAAGAAUACUCGGCAAGGAACCUUAUCAAGCUUCCAGAAGUGGCUAUGGAACCAGACUAGCAACAAUUGCGCACAUCCAAUAAAUCUACCUCACCGGCCCUCCAACAUGUACUCAAGGAUCUAAAUGUCUUAGCUAGGAUUGCUGGUACCGGUGUAUUUUGCUUACCGACACGAUCGAACAAAUCCGUAACUGCCUCAUCUAUGUGGCCCAACUCCUUUGGGAAAAUCACCAUGCCGUAAAUACUCAAAGCUAGGACGUCGACCCUUUUCUUUACGUCUGGAUGUGUCGAUAUCAAAUCCCUCAAAAUGGCCCAUAGAACACACUUACUAUCACCCUUUUGCUGCACACGAGCUACAGCCCAUUGCUCACUUAUCCUAGUAAUCAUCGCCAACUUCUUUGCAAAAGUUGGAAAACUAGCGGGCCUAACAUAAUCCUUGUGACCCUGAAUUGUAACACCCCUUACCCGUAUUCCUUACCGGAACAGAGUAUGAGGUAUUACUAAAUUUUUAAAAAUUUUCGACAGCAUUCCUACUUAUUUUUGCUUAAACCUCCUGCAAAUUUAGAACACAUUCCAAUAUACCAACCAAUUUCAUUUGUAUAAACACACAUAUAGUUUAACUAUUAAUAAACACUACAUUUAAAAGGGAACCAUAACAUAUAUUUACAUGAUGAUCCCACAUUACAUAAAGUGUCUAUACAUGCCAUAAAAUUUCGGAACACUAGUAGUAAAAUACCCCAAAUGUGAAGGAUAGUGUAGAUGAUUGUCUGACUUCGUUCCAAUUUCCGAGUUGUUGGAAGUCACUAUAACCAAGAGAAAAAUAAAAUCGAGUAAGCAUAUAGCUUAGUAAGUAAACACAUGAUAAAUAAGUAAUUACUCCCAUAACUACACCAAAAUAUAAACUUAUUCAUGAAUAACUUUAUUGUUUAGGCAAUUUCCAGCAAGCUGUUUUUCUGCGUCAUAGUUGCUAAUUUAUUUUUAUCUGGAGCUACAGAGCUCCAAAUUGAGUUCCGUAAAUUUUCCCUGAAACUAGACUCAUAUACCAUUUCAUCAUAAAACUUUCAGAAUUUUUAACCCAGACAAUUAGUACAGUUUAUUCAUUAAACCUUCCCCUGUUUCACUGCCCAACGGUUCUGACCCUUCCUCACUAAAAUUUACUUAACUCUCUGUACAAAAUUUGAAAAAUGGUUUUUCUUGUUUCUAAUAAAAAUAUACUCAAUAAGGAUUCCAGGGAUAUAAAUUUCAUGCCAUAAUUAUUUUUUUCAAUUUUUCGUAAUUUUCCAAAGUUAGAACAGGGGAUCUCGAAAUCAAUCCAUCCCUGUUUCAGUAAAAUUCAGAUAUCUCCAAAAAUACAACUCUUUUGCUUAUUCUAUUUCUUUCAUAUGAAAAUAGACACAUUCAGCUUCAAUUUCAUAUAUUAUUCAGCUUCCCAUUCAUUUUCCACCAUUUAUGGUGAUUUUUCAAAGUUACCCAACUGCUAUUGUUCAACACAGUUUAUAAUUAAAUCGUUCCUUUUGCGUUUUUGAUAUUUUCUCCCAUCUCAUACAUGAGUCGAUUUAGUAUUCAACUCAAUAUUUACCCCAUAAAAUUUUCCACCAUAUGGAAAUAUUCAUCUUCCACACUUUUUCGUUGAACACUUGGAAUGUUAACCGUUAUUGGUGGAUCUCGCACUUAGCACCACCGCUGAAUCGGGGAAUCAGCACUUAGCAACCCCUCGGGGGAAUCAGCACAUAGCAACCCCCUUUCACAUUUCAAAGAUAUGGUGGAUAUCGCACUUAGCACCACCAAUGAACCGGGGAAUCAGCACUUAGCAACCCCUCGGGGGAAUCAGCACAUAGCAACCCCCUUUUCACAUUUCAAAGAUAUGGUGGAUCACGCACAUAGCACCACCAAUGAAUCGGGGAAUCAGCACACAGCAACCCCUUUAUAUACAACAUACUCCGGCUUAUUCCGAGUGUUCAACCCAUAAACCAUAUAUUGCAACCCUUUACCACCUUUCCCGAUUUAACAACAUUUUUAGGAUAUGGCCAAACAUUUAUUUUAAUUCCAAAUAAAUCUCAACAUAUAUCAAAUAAUAUCAAAAUAAUACAUUAAGUCACGUGUUUACUUACCUCGGUGCAAAAUAUCGUAAUUUUGCACUUUACUCCACUAUCUUUUCUUUUCCUCGUUUGAUAUACUCUUCACGUCUUUCUUGAUUAUGGAGCUUGAAAGCUUAAAAACCCUAAAUAUGGCUUCCCCCUUGCUGAUUUCGUUCACCAUGAAGAAGAUGAGCAUAUUUUGCCAUCUUUUUCCCAUUUAAUUCUAUUUAAUAACCAAAUGACUAAAAUGCCCCCAUUUAAAAAAAAUCUAUUUCACCCAUUUCUUAUGUCUAUUUUUGUCCAUCAACUAACUAAUGGUCUAAUUACCACAUAAAGACCUCCAAUUUAAAAUUUCAUAACAAUUAGACACCUCUAAGAUGUAGAACUCAACUUUUGCACUAUUUACAAUUUAGUCCUUUUGACUAAAUUGAGUGCCCAAACGUCGAAAUUUUCGAACGAAAUUUUUACGAAAAUUUUCCGUGAAAUUGUAGAUCAUAAAAAUAUAAUAAUAACCAUAUUUUCCCUCGUCGGAUUUGUGGUCCUGAAACCACUAUUCCGACUAGGCCCAGAAUCUGGCUGUUACAACUCUCCCCCCCUUAGGGAUUUUCGUCCCCGAAAAUCUUACCGGAAAAGAGGUUUGGGUACUGUUUCCUCAUAAUUUCCUCCGGUUCCCACGUAGCCUCUUCCAUUCCAUGUUUUUGCCACAACACUUUCGCUAAGGCUACACUUUUAUUUCUUAACUGUUUGACCUCCCGAGCCAAAAUCUUUAUGGGUUCUUCUUCAUAAGUCAUAUCUGAUCGAACCUCAAUCUCUGUAGGAGAAACUAUAUGUGAAGGAUCCGAACGAUAACGUCGCAACAUCGACACAUGAAAUACAUUAUGUAUCUUUUCCAACUCUGGCGGUAAAGCUAACCGAUAUGCUACAGGGCCAACUCUCUCGGUAACUUCAUAUGGUCCAAUAAAACGUGGACUUAGUUUGCCUUUACGACCAAAUCUCAGAAUCUUCUUCCAUGGGGAUACUUUCAAGAACACUUUAUCACCCACUUGAAACUCAAUUUCUUUUCUCUUUAAAUCCGCAUACGACUUUUGCCGAUCUGAGGCAGCUUUUAGGCAAUCACGGAUUAUUUUCACCUUUUCUUCAGUUUCUUUCACCAGGUCGACUCCAUGAAUCCGAUUCUCACCGAGUUCAGUCCAAUAUAAAGGGGUUCUACAUUUACGCCCAUAUAAUGCUUCAUACGGUGCCAUUUGUAUACUUGACUGAUAACUAUUAUUAUAAGCAAAUUCAACCAGUGGUAGAUAUUUCUCCCAACUGUCCUUCAUUUCUAAAAUACAACACCGGAGCAUGUCUUCAAGAACUUGAAUCACCCUUUCUGAUUGCCCGUCAGUUUGCGGAUGAAAUGCAGUACUGAAAUUCAAUUUCGUACCCAAAGCUUCCUGUAACUUUAUCCAAAACCUCGAAGUAAAUCUCGGAUCUCUAUCCGAUAUAAUAGAUUUAGGCACCCCAUGUAGUCUCACUAUUUCAGCAACAUAUAAUUCAGCCAACCUGUCAAGUGAAUAAUCAAUGCGUAUCGGAAUAAAAUGGGCUGACUUUGUCAAUCUAUCCACAAUUACCCAAAUAGCAUCUUUCUUCUUUGGAGUUAAAGGCAAUCCUGUCACGAAAUCCAUCGUGAUACUGUCCCACUUCCAUUCUAGAAUCGUUAUCGGUUGAAGUAAACCCGAUGGCACUUGAUGCUCAGCCUUUACUUGUUGACAGAUUAAACAUUUUGUUACAAAUUUCGAGAUAUCCUUUUUUAUGCCCGGCCACCAAUACAACUUCCUCAAAUCAUUGUACAUUUUCACACUACCCGGAUGGACUGAUAAAUCACCACUGUGUGCCUCACCUAAAAUAGUCUGAAUUAGCUCAUCAUUUCUCGGUACACAUAUUCUGUCCCUGAACAUCAGGCAAUCAUCUGAACCAAUUUGAAAAUCUGAGUCAACACCUGCUUCACAUUGAGCUCUCUUGGCUUGCAAUUUACUGUCAUUCUUUUGAGAUUCCCGAAUUUGCUGAAGAAAUAACGGUCUAGCUCUCAAUUCAACCAACAUUGAGCCAUCAUCAGAUAAAGUUAACAUCGUACCCAUAGCUCUCAAAGCAAAUAAAGAUUUUCUGCUCAAGGCAUCAGCAACCACAUUAGCUUUCCCGGGGUGAUAAUCAAUCACUAGCUCAUAGUCUUUGAUUAGCUCGAGCCAUCUUCGUUGCCGCAAAUUCAAGUCUUUUUGACUCAUCAAAUAUUUCAAACUCUUAUGAUCAGUGAAGAUUCGGCACUUUUCACCAUACAAAUAAUGACGCCAAAUUUUUAAAGCAAAAACAAUGGCAGCCAAUUCUAAAUCAUGCGUCGGAUAAUUCUUCUCAUGCGGUUUCAACUGUCUCGAAGCAUAAGCUAUUACUUUGCCCUCUUGCAUUAACACACACCCAAGGCCAUUCAACGAUACAUCACUGUAAAUUACAAACUCCUUCCCGGACUCAGGUUGCACCAACACUGGCGCCUCAGUCAAUAAUGCCUUCAACUUUUCAAAACUCUGUUGACAUUUAUCGGUCCAUUCAAACUUGACAUUCUUCUGCAGUAACUUAGUCAUAGGAGAAGCAAUCAUCGAGAAUCCCUUGACAAACCGUUUGUAAUACCCAGCUAAGCCCAGGAAGCUUCUAACUUCAGUCACAUUCUUUGGUGGCUCCCAAUCAACAAUUGCUGAAAUUUUGCUUGGAUCAACCCGAAUACCUUCACUUGAAACUAUAUGUCCCAAGAAUCCAACCUCACGAAGCCAAAACUCACUUUUGCUGAAUUUAGCAUACAAUUUCUUUUCUCUCAGAAUCUGCAACACAGUUCUCAAAUGUUCCGCAUGUUCCGAUUCAUCCCGAGAAUAGAUUAAAAUAUCAUCUAUGAACACCACCACGAACUUGUCUAAGUACAGCCGAAAAAUUCGGUUCAUCAAGUCCAUAAAAAUAGCUGGAGCAUUAGUCAACCCAAAAGGCAUUACCAGAAAUUCAUAGUGUCCAUACCUCGUUCUAAAGGCGGUUUUCGGCACAUCAGACUCUUUAACUCUCAACUGAUAGUAACCAGACCUCAGAUCGAUCUUGGAGAACACUGUUGCCCCUUUUAAUUGAUCAAACAAAUCAUCAAUUCUCGGCAAAGGAUACUUGUUCUUUAUGGUCACCUUAUUGAGCUGACGAUAGUCAAUACAAAGUCUCAUAGAGCCGUCCUUCUUUUUCACAAAUAACACAGGAGCACCCCAAGGAGAAAAACUCGGUCUCACAAAUCCUUUAUCUGUCAACUCUUGUAACUGAGCUUUUAAUUCCUUCAACUCAGUCGGAGCCAUUCGAUACGGUGCAAUAGAAAUCGGUGCAGUACCAGGUAACAGAUCAAUAGAAAACUCAACUUCUCUAAUCGGAGGUAACCCAGGCAAUUCCUCUGGAAAUACAUCUGGAAAUUCACAGACUACCGGCACUGAUUCAAGCUUCGACCCAGUUAUAUCAGUAUUCAACACAUAAGCAAGAUAAACUUCACAUCCCUUUCUCAAGUAUUUCUGAGCAGACAUGUGCGAAAUCACCAUAGGCAACUUAUUCGGCUCCUCUGUUUCAAUCCGGAGAAUUUCACCAUUUUCACACUUUAAUUCAAGAAUUUUCUGUCUACAAUUCACCUUGGCAUCAUGCAAUAUCAACCAAUCCAUCCCCAAAAUAACAUCGAACUCAUCAAAUGGUAACAACAUCAAAUUAGCCAGGAAACAGUGACCUUGAAUCAUCAGGGGGCAAUUCUUGCAAAUCUUAUCAACUAAGACAUACUUGCCUAAUGGAUUUGAUACUUUAACUACAUAUUCAGUGUUUUCAAUAGGCAAUUUCUUACUAGAUACCAAUUUCAUGCAUACAUAUGAAUGAGUAGAGCCGGGAUCAAUCAAAGCAAUAACAUCUAUAUCAUGAAGAGAAAAUGUACCAGUAAUCACAUCGGGAGAUGAGGCAUCCUCUCGAGCACGUAUGGCAUAAGUCCUGGCAGGCGCUCUAAUUUCUGAUCCUCCAGCUGCAUCUUUCAUCACACUUUUACCACUAACUUUGCUUCCCACAUUUCUCGGCGGUCUCCCUCUACUAACAAUAUCACCCGAUCCAGCUCUUGGCAAAUUUUCUUCCUCUCUUCUCUUAGGGCAAUCUCUUACAUAAUGCUCUUGGGAACCACACCUGAAACAAGCUCGUUUAAAUCCCCAACACUCACCAAUAUGUCGCCUGCCACACUGUUGACAUUCAGGCCGGGCGUUUCCUACAUUGCCCACACUUGCUACAGAGGUAGCUCGAGUUGUAGCUCCAGAAUACGACCUCCCUCGGUCUCUGCGUGAAUACCCAACUGAACCAGUUGGUCGUGGAUCCAUCCCUUUAAACUUCUUCGAAUGAGAUUGAAAUGUUCUGCCCAUUGUCCUCUUCCUUACAUCUCGAGAUUCCAUCUCUGCCCUUCUCUUUUCUCUACUCAGUUCUUCAGCUUUACAGGUCCGAUCAACUAACACCACAAAUUCUUUUAACUCUAAAAUCCCAACAUGCAAUCUGAUGUCUUCAUUUAGCCCCUCUUCAAAUCUUUUACACAUAAUAGCCUCCGUAGGCACACAUUCCUGGGCAUAUUUACUAAGCCGAACAAACUCCCGUUCAUAUUCUGCUACGGACAUUCGGCCCUGUUUCAACCCGAGAAACUCUUUGCGUUUUUGAUCAAUAAAUCGUUGGCUUACAUAUUUCUUUCUAAAUUUUUCCUGAAAGAAGUCCCAAGUAACUCUUUCUUUUGGAACCACCGAUAUCAAUGUUUUCCACCAACGAUAUGCCGAAUCCUUCAAUAAAGACACAGCACAUUUCAAACAUUCUUCAGGGGUGCAAGAUAAUUCAUCAAAUACCCGAAUAGUAUUUUCAAGCCAAAACUCGGCUUUUUCCGGAUCAUCAUCAACAUUGGCCCUAAAAUCUUCAGCCCCAUGCUUUCUAAUUCUAUCAACAGGUGGCUUACUUGAUCUCACCAAUUCGGCACUCCGUGGAGCUACGGGGACCGGUUGAGGAAUAGGAGGGGGUGGAGGAGGAGGAACAUUCGGUUUUACACGGACAUAUUCUAUAUACCAAUCACUCAUCAUUCGGAGGAAGGCUUCCCGAGCCUCAUCCUGUCCAUGUGUCUCAUGUCUACUCUCUUCCUGCGCGGUCCCUUGCGCGAGAGCCGGCGCGUUACUUUCAACAUCAUCUGCCACACUUCGAUCAGGAUCCAUUUACUAUAUAAAACAAAAUUUUAAAUUGUCAGAAAUCAUCACACUAUCACAAUAAUUUUAUGGCAUGUAUAGACUGACUUCCACACGUAUUUUAUUGGUCCGAGAACCGACUAAACCGUAGCUCUGAUACCACUAAAAUGUAACACCCCUUACCCGUAUUCCUUACCGGAACAGAGUAUGAGGUAUUACUAAAUUUUUAAAAAUUUUCGACAGCAUUCCUACUUAUUUUUGCUUAAACCUCCUGCAAAUUUAGAACACAUUCCAAUAUACCAACCAAUUUCAUUUGUAUAAACACACAUAUAGUUUAACUAUUAAUAAACACUACAUUUAAAAGGGAACCAUAACAUAUAUUUACAUGAUGAUCCCACAUUACAUAAAGUGUCUAUACAUGCCAUAAAAUUUCGGAACACUAGUAGUAAAAUACCCCAAAUGUGAAGGAUAGUGUAGAUGAUUGUCUGACUUCGUUCCAAUUUCCGAGUUGUUGGAAGUCACUAUAACCAAGAGAAAAAUAAAAUCGAGUAAGCAUAUAGCUUAGUAAGUAAACACAUGAUAAAUAAGUAAUUACUCCCAUAACUACACCAAAAUAUAAACUUAUUCAUGAAUAACUUUAUUGUUUAGGCAAUUUCCAGCAAGCUGUUUUUCUGCGUCAUAGUUUCUAAUUUAUUUUUAUCUGGAGCUACAGAGCUCCAAAUUGAGUUCCGUAAAUUUUCCCUGAAACUAGACUCAUAUACCAUUUCACCAUAAAAAUUUCAGAAUUUUUAACCCAGCCAAUUAGUACAUUUUAUUCAUUAAACUUUCCCCUGUUUCACUGCCCAACGGUUCUGACCCUUCCUCACUAAAAUUUACUUAACUCUCUGUAAAAAAUUUGAAAAAUGGGUUUUCUUGUUUCUAAUAAAAAUAGACUCAAUAAGGAUUCCAGGGAUAUAUAUUUCAUGCCAUAAUUAUUUUUUUUCAAUUUUUGGUAAUUUUCCAAAGUUAGAACAGGGGAUCUCGAAAUCAAUCCAUCCCUGUUUCAGUAAAAUUCAGAUAUCUCCAAAAAUACAACUCUUUUGCUUAUUCUAUUUCUUUCAUAUGAAAAUAGACACAUUCAGCUUCAAUUUCAUAUAUUAUUCAGCUUCCCAUUCAUUUUCCACCAUUUAUGGUGAUUUUUCAAAAUUACCCAACUGCUAUUGUUUAACACAGUUUAUAAUUAAAUCGUUCCUUUUGCGUUUUUGAUAUUUUCUCCCAUCUCAUACAUGGGUCGAUUUAGUAUUCAACUCAAUAUUUACCCCAUAAAAUUUUCCACCAUAUGGAAAUAUUCAUCUUCCACACUUUUUCGUUGAACACUUGGAAUGUUAACCGUUAUUGGUGGAUCUCGCACUUAGCACCACCGCUGAAUCGAGGAAUCAGCACUUAGCAACCCCUCGGGGGAAUCAGCACAUAGCAACCCCCUUUCACAUUUCAAAGAUAUGGUGGAUAUCGCACUUAGCACCACCAAUGAACCGGGGAAUCAGCACUUAGCAACCCCUCGGGGGAAUCAGCACAUAGCAACCCCCUUUUCACAUUUCAAAGAUAUGGUGGAUCACGCACAUAGCACCACCAAUGAAUCGGGGAAUCAGCACACAGCAACCCCUUUAUAUACAACAUACUCCGGCUUAUUCCGAGUGUUCAACCCAUAAACCAUAUAUUGCAACCCUUUACCACCUUUCCCGAUUUAACAACAUUUUUAGGAUAUGGCCAAACAUUUAUUUUAAUUCCAAAUAAAUCUCAACAUAUAUCAAAUAAUAUCAAAAUAAUACAUUAAGUCACGUGUUUACUUACCUCGGUGCAAAAUAUCGUAAUUUUGCACUUUACUCCACUAUCUUUUCUUUUCCUCGUUUGAUAUACUCUUCACGUCUUUCUUGAUUAUGGAGCUUGAAAGCUUAAAAACCCUAAAUAUGGCUUCCCCCUUGCUGAUUUCGUUCACCAUGAAGAAGAUGAGCAUAUUUUGCCAUCUUUUUCCCAUUUAAUUCUAUUUAAUAACCAAAUGACUAAAAUGCCCCCAUUUAAAAAAAAAUCUAUUUCACCCAUUUCUUAUGUCUAUUUUUGUCCAUCAACUAACUAAUGGUCUAAUUACCACAUAAAGACCUCCAAUUUAAAAUUUCAUAACAAUUAGACACCUCUAAGAUGUAGAACUCAACUUUUGCACUAUUUACAAUUUAGUCCUUUUGACUAAAUUGAGUGCCCAAACGUCGAAAUUUUCGAACGAAAUUUUUACGAAAAUUUUCCGUGAAAUUGUAGAUCAUAAAAAUAUAAUAAUAACCAUAUUUUCCCUCGUCGGAUUUGUGGUCCUGAAACCACUAUUCCGACUAGGCCCAGAAUCGGGCUGUUACAUGAAUCCUCGGGCAACGCAAUAAAGUCGUAUACUCCUCCAAAGUAGGUGCAAGAUAAAUAUCACCAAAUGUAAAGAAACUAUAAGCAGGGUUCCAGAACUGUACCAUAGCUCGAAACAAGUGCCUAUCUACUUAGACGUCUAGCAAAUAGGAAAGGUCUCCAUAAUUCUGAUAGAAAAGCUGCUUAGCCUCGUCAUCUCAUUGGGCCCAAAUUUCUCUCAACUCCUGAAACUCAUUCUGCGUCGAAUUAAUACGGGUGAAGUCCCAUAACUCUGAUGUAUUCCCCUCAGUGACACUAUCUCCUUUCUCUAAUUGGGUUUUCUCUGACUAGGUACAGACAGAGGCGUUGUCCUCCACUUUAUUAAGGUAUUCGUUCCUCAUUACAAAACUUUCUAAUCUAGAAAUCAAACCUUGAAUCAACACCUUUAAAUGUUGAAUGACAUGAAAUAACAGCAAAAUAAAAUAGGUCAGUAUCAUAAAAAAAAUAAAAAGUACUUACAAGGGUAGCUCACUAAAGGCUGUCACUAUUUCCCUAGGGUAAGCACUUAAAGUUCACUAUAUGAGUUUUAGUUCUAAAUCAAGGGUACCUGAACCAGCAGAUUCCUCAGUCCUCACCUAUUAUAGGCUCAUAUAGACCAAGUUUAGUUCAGGGAGACACAUUUCCCUAUGGCCAUACGGAGAUGAAAAUCUCACGAAGACAUAGGUACAGUAUCUCAGAAGCAAUCCACUAGCUCAUACGGAGGUGAAAACCUCACAAAAGCGUAGCUUCUCACUCCCACUUAAAGGUGCAACCAACGGUCAUGUAAAUGCAAUGUGUGCAGAUAAUAUAACGAACAUAUGCAGCGAACACAUGAAAAGGGAACUUUAUCUUUAAAUCCCUUCAAAUUUUUAGCAUUAAGACAAAAAGUUAUCAAUUUUUUGGCUUGACUCUCUUAUUGUCCCCAGCGGAGUCGCCAAGCUGUCGAAACCCUUUUAAAACGGGGUUUGAAAAAUAGGGUACGACUUUAAAAAAAUGAAAACGGGAGUCGACACCAACCUUGUAAAGUGUAAUUGGAUCACUUUAUAAAACGUUUUGGUCUACGAAAUUACAAGAAAAUAGGUUCGGGAGUCGGUUACGUACGAGGAAGGAUUGACACCCUCGUAACGCCCAAAAUUGGUACCAAAUUGAAUAAUUUUGUCUUAAUGUCAAGUGUUUGAAUGAAUUUAGAAAUAAGAUCUCUUUUAAAAUCGUAAUAAUUUGAGUUAAAAGAAUCAAGAUUCCUUUGUUUCGAAAGGAUAUAAAUAUCAUAUCCAGCAUGAUUGAACACGAUAUUCUUAAACUUUCGUAAUCUAAAAUCAUCUUGUGAUUUUCAAAACUUAUUUAGAAGGAUAUUUUUAGGCAUUUAGACAAACAGGAAAUCGCAACCCGGCAUGUUAGGGUACUACUUCCAGAAUUCUUUUUGGAUCGAAUGAAAUAUAAAAAUUCUUUAAAGUGAUAAUGCAUUUGUCAUUUUACAAAGGGUCAAUAUUUAAAUAAGCUAACCUACAUAAUAUCUUCUUUAACAAUCCAUGCAAAUAUAAUAUAAAAAAAUGAAUAAUGGCAUAAAUUACACAAGAUACGUUAUCAUUUUAUGUAUGGUCAUAGAUAACAUAUAUAUACAUGCAUUGUCAUAUCAUGCGAAAUACAACGUAGAGCAUAAUGAAUUCAAUGAUAUAAAUUGUAUAAUAUAUAUAACAACCUCAUGCAAAUGUACCUUAAAUCAACAUAAAUGAUUAAUUCUCAUGCAAAUAUGUAAAAACAAUAACAAAUAUUCUAAAAAAAUUUUAACUUACUAAACAAUAACAAAAAGUAAAUAAGCAAAUUAUAGACAUAUAAAUUAAAUAGUAAAAAAAAUAAAGAUAUUCAUAAAUUUUUAGAACAAUAUGAAAAUAAUAAAGGAAAACUCUUUUUUUAAAUGAUUAAUAUAUAUAUAAACCAUAUUAUAGGGUAUAAUAACUUAAUAUAUUAACAACUUAAUAUAUUAACAAAAUAAUGUACUGAAUAUUAAUAUUAAUUAUUACACAUAUUUAUUUAAUAAUAAAAUAAAAAAUCUAUAUAAUUAGUGAUAAAGUAGUAUAUUUUUUACAAUGAAAUAAAAGUAAUGCAAGUUAUAAUAUAUGGUAAAAUAUAUAGUGUAUAAUAUAAUUUGUAAACAAAAUAUAUAAUAAUAUAAACCAUAUGAUAAGUAAAAAAAUAUAUAAUAACAUGUAUAUAAUGUAAUGUAUAAUAAAAGGAAAAAUACUAUAAGGAAUAAUAUAUAAUAUGAUAUGGAAUAUGAAUAAAACAUAAUAAAAAUACUAUCAUAUAAAUAAGGAUAAUAUAUACUAUUAUUUAAUAAUAAUCUUUUUAAAAAAAAUAAAAUUUACACAAUUAAUCAAUAAUAAUACAUAAUUUAAAAUAAAAAUAAUAUAUAUAUGAAAUAUAUAAUAAAAUAUAAUUUAUAAGUAAAAUAUAGAAUAAUAAAAAUAACAUGAUGGAUAAUAAAAAUAAUAUGUAAUUAAUGUUUAUAAAAAUAAAUAAUAUAUGAGGUAUUUAAAAUAAAUUAAAUAUAUAAAAAAGGAUUAAAAUUGAAUUUAAUUAAAGAAUUUAGGAUUAAUUACAAAAUAAAAUAAAAAUUGGGUCUAAUUGAAAAACGCAUUUAAACCCGAGGGACUCAUUGGGAAAUUAGCCCUUAUCCUAGGAAACGACGUCGUUCCUCAAAAUGGAGUUAAUGACCAUUGGGACUAAAUUGAAACAACUAUAAAAUAUUAGGGCCGAAUUAAAAAUAAAAUAAAAUGAAAUUAUAAAGAUUAAAAAUGCGGAAGGACUAAUUGGGCAAUUAGCCCAUUUUCCAAAAAAUACGCGGAUCCUCCCCGGGUCACGGGUCAACGCGCGGAUCCUCAAUAUUGAUACAACGCCGUUUUAGAGCUUAUUGUUUUAAGCUAAACGACGUCAUUCUAAUAAGGCUAUAUAAGCCAAAUUUUAACUUAAAAUUCAUUUAAAGCCCGGUUUUGAAAAAAAAAAGAAAGAAAUCCUCUGAAAGAGGAUUUGGGGCCGACCUCGGAGCUCUGUCGAGCCCCUGUUCUCAAGCGCCCACGCGUCCACGCGCCACCGCGAAUGCCGCCACGUGCGGCGGUCGGAAGUUGGAAAACUUCCCGUUUCAACGCAAAUUUAGAAAUAGUUCGUCUCCUCUUUUCCCUUUUCAUGUUACCAGCAUAUAUUUUGUAAAAAAAAAUGAAAUAUUCACCUCUGUAUUCUUUGAUAAUCUGCCAAUGUUUCUCUUGUUUUUAUCUAUAUCAACUGUUCGUAUCCAUUACAACGAUAGCACUCGGGCUUUAUAGCCACUGUUUACAAUAUAUUUACAUCUUUAUUUUAUUUCCUUGCCAUAUUUGUUUCGUCUCUGUCGUUUCUUUCCCUUUUUUGCGGAUGAUUGAGGAAAAUCCGGCGACGAUCGUGCUGACGAUGUAGAUCUACUGGUGGCAUUGAUCACGGUGUGAUUCGAAGCCUGGAAUCAAGGCCUGGAAUCUCAACACUGAUAGUGGGUUACGCGAGACGAACAGUCGCGUCGUUUGGAAUGCUUGCGGCGCUAGUGUUUUUGGAACCUUCCGUUUGCGGCGCCUAGGGCUCCAGAAACCCUAGGUCUUCCAUCCUUUGUUAACCAACUGGGCCAUUUGGGCCGUACUUGUUUGUGGGUUGGGUGUAAACGGGUUAGUGGGUAGUUUAGGUUAAUUGGGUCCUAAGUAUUUGGGUCUACGGGUUAGUGGGCUAUGGUAUUGUAAAUGGACUGUAAUAAAUAUAACAUUCAUUUAUUUUUAUUUUUUUUGCUUUUGGUUUUAAGGCCCGGGUAGAUUUUGGCUACUACAAGGGAAUUAACCUAAAAUUUUUAAUUCUGAAAAUAAAUUUAUCAUGCUUGAUUCUCUCAUGUCUUAAAGUUUAAAACAAC
Molecule: long non-coding RNA, 43759 nt
Filed under: Gossypium barbadense (sea-island cotton)
Lineage: Eukaryota; Viridiplantae; Streptophyta; Magnoliopsida; Malvales; Malvaceae
Description: long non-coding RNA (GBAR_LNC012973)
Source: RNAcentral